Molecule: small nucleolar RNA, 70 nt
Filed under: Sphenodon punctatus (tuatara)
Lineage: Eukaryota; Metazoa; Chordata; Lepidosauria; Sphenodontia; Sphenodontidae
Description: Small nucleolar RNA SNORD27 (ENSSPUG00000008123.1)
Rfam family: Small nucleolar RNA SNORD27
About the family: U27 is a member of the C/D class of snoRNA which contain the C (UGAUGA) and D (CUGA) box motifs.
Source: Rfam by way of RNAcentral
GUUCAGUGAUGAAUAUAAAACAGACAAGCAUAUGGCUGACUCUAGUGAUGCCUCCUCGAUGUCUGAGAAC